UUUUGGACAAUGGGCGCAAGCCUGAUCCAGCAAUGCCGCGUGCAGGAUGAAGGCCUUCGGGUUGUAAACUGCUUUUGUACGGAGCCAAAAGGUUUCCACUAAUACUGGGGGCUCAUGACGGUACCGUAAGAAUAAGCACCGGCUAACUACGUGCCAGCAGCCGCGGUAAUACGUAGGGUGCAAGCGUUAAUCGGAAUUACUGGGCGUAAAGCGUGCGCAGGCGGUUAUGUAAGACAGAUGUGAAAUCCCCGGGCUUAACCUGGGAACUGCAUUUGUGACUGCAUAGCUAGAGUACGGUAGAGGGGGAUGGAAUUCCGCGUGUAGCAGUGAAAUGCGUAGAUAUGCGGAGGAACACCGAUGGCGAAGGCAAUCCCCGGACCUUACGACGCUCAGCACGAAG
RNAcentral lists this ribosomal RNA (400 nucleotides) under uncultured bacterium. RNAcentral's name for it is "bacterial SSU rRNA". It matches the Rfam family "Bacterial small subunit ribosomal RNA", at positions 362 to 758 of the family's 1533-position model. The record is from RNAcentral.